CUCUGUGACUCCUACGGGAGGCAGCAGUGGGGAAUAUUGCUACAAUGGGGGAAACCCUGAUGCAGCCAUGCCGCGUGUGUGAAGAAGGCCUUCGGGUUGUAAAGCACUUUCAGUAGGGAGGAAGGUAGUGUAGUUAACACCUGCAUUAUUUGACGUUACCUACAGAAGAAGCACCGGCUAACUCCGUGCCAGCAGCCGCGGUAAUACGGAGGGUGCGAGCGUUAAUCGGAAUUACUGGGCGUAAAGCGCAUGCAGGCGGCCUGUUAAGUCAGAUGUGAAAGCCCGGGGCUUAACCUCGGAAUUGCAUUUGAAACUGGCAGGCUAGAGUCUUGUAGAGGGGGUAGAAUUUCAGGUGUAGCGGUGAAAUGCGUAGAGAUCUGAAGGAAUACCAGUGGCGAAGGCGGCCCCCUGGACAAAGACUGACGCUCAGAUGCGAAAGCGUGGGGAGCAACAGGAUUAGAUACCCUGGUAG
This 472-nucleotide ribosomal RNA is filed under the name uncultured bacterium. Its description in RNAcentral is "bacterial SSU rRNA". It matches the Rfam family "Bacterial small subunit ribosomal RNA", at positions 328 to 793 of the family's 1533-position model. The record is from RNAcentral.